GAUGAACGCUGGCGGCGUGCUUAACACAUGCAAGUCGAACGAAGCACUUUAUUUGAUUUCCUUCGGGACUGAUUAUUUUGUGACAGAGUGGCGGACGGGUGAGUAACGCGUGGGUAACCUGCCUUGUACAGGGGGAUAACAGUUGGAAACGGCUGCUAAUACCGCAUAAGCGCACAGCAUCGCAUGAUGCAGUGUGAAAAACUCCGGUGGUAUAAGAUGGACCCGCGUUGGAUUAGCUAGUUGGUGAGGUAACGGCCCACCAAGGCGACGAUCCAUAGCCGACCUGAGAGGGUGACCGGCCACAUUGGGACUGAGACACGGCCCAAACUCCUACGGGAGGCAGCAGUGGGGAAUAUUGCACAAUGGGCGAAAGCCUGAUGCAGCGACGCCGCGUGAGCGAAGAAGUAUUUCGGUAUGUAAAGCUCUAUCAGCAGGGAAGAUAAUGACGGUACCUGACUAAGAAGCACCGGCUAAAUACGUG
RNAcentral lists this ribosomal RNA (481 nucleotides) under uncultured bacterium. RNAcentral's name for it is "partial 16S ribosomal RNA". It matches the Rfam family "Bacterial small subunit ribosomal RNA", at positions 28 to 507 of the family's 1533-position model. The record is from RNAcentral.